UGAAUCACAGCUUGAAGUAGUGAUUGAGCACCUGGUAGGAAAGCAAGGCCAACCCAGGCAGCUCAGGUGCAUGCAAAAAUCCUGAGUGACCAGAAAGGGUAGGGCCAGGAUCCACCCAUUCCCAGAUUUUAUUUCAGGGUUGGCAGGGGAGGUGAUUUAAUCUCAUCUGGAGAUUCUUGCAUACUUGAGUACCUUACAGGUCUUUUGAAGGCUUGGAGAUGGAGGACAAGAGGAAUAUACACCUUGCGUAGAACUGCUGGAAACAUGAAACAGAACUUUCCUUUUCCAUGGUGUGCCAGCACACUGAAGAUCUGCAAUGAGACCAGGAGGCAGUGUGCAAGAUGAUGUCUGGCAGAGGACAGACUAGAGUAUUUUGGGACUUGAAGCAGCUGUGGAUUGUACGGAUGGUGCUGGGCCCUCUUGUGAGGAGCAAGGCUGGGCUGCCCUGACAGUGCUGGGGCAAACAGUGGAUAGCACUGUCUGGUACAGGGACUGUGCUGCGUGAUGUGGAAAAAUAGAAGUUUGGGCUUGAUUCUACAGGAUGGAAGGAAACAUUUUGGGUGUUGUGAAAUUCUUUCAAGAAGUACACAGGCUGAAUAGCUCCCAGUUUGCACAUGAACUGAAUCCUGGUAUCUUUUGGAGAAAAAUGACUUAUUUAUCAACUACAAAAAAAUCGUAAUAAUCAUGAUUCAAAGAAUCAUUUGUAAGUACAAUCAACCACUAAGGAUAUAUCUGAAGCAGAAGUCAACCUGUGAAUACAUAAAUUUCUACAAAUCUCCUUUGUGCUAAUCUUAUUUCUCAUCUAAUUGGGCUGCUUAUCUAUUUUCCAGCUAAAAUUCUGGCCACAGUAGUCACUUUUCUGAUUUACAAAUGUGUCAGUGGUGUGAUGCUGGAUUAAAUGGUAACCUACGUGAUCUGGUGAAAGGUGAUGCCUGAAGCUAUCUCUGUGCUGUUUGUAGGUGCUCUUUUUUCUUAUUUAAAAAAAUUCCUUUUAUAAUGGGUUAACUCUGGUCAAGUAAUUCCCACACAGCCGCUUGCUCAUUCCUCACAGUGGGGCUGAGAAGAGAAUCGGAAGGGUAAGAACACAGAAAGUUAAUUAAAAAAAAAAAAAAACUCACAAAAUGAGUUCCUUCACUGCUUUGACCAUUUGUCACCCCAUUGACAGGCAGAUGUUUUCCUGUAAAUUGUUAAACAGAGCUCCACUAUGUGUAGGUUUUAUUUGAGAAGAUAAAAGCUGUAACUGUGAGAGUCUUGUGC
Molecule: non-coding RNA, 1257 nt
Organism: Meleagris gallopavo (turkey)
Lineage: Eukaryota; Metazoa; Chordata; Aves; Galliformes; Phasianidae
Source: RefSeq, a predicted model, not a curated record